Long non-coding RNA from Bombyx mori (domestic silkworm), 1561 nucleotides. RefSeq lists it as uncharacterized. NCBI's taxonomy places the organism in Eukaryota, Metazoa, Arthropoda, Insecta, Lepidoptera, Bombycidae. The record is from RefSeq and is a predicted model, not a curated record. The transcript has 2 exons.
UUUAAAUAGUAAGCCCGAGUAACAAUUAAUUUAUUUUCCAGUUUGUAUAUAUUAGAGCCAAGUUGUAAAAAUGUUGUUUCAUCAUCGGACCUUGACGCGCGUGCGAAUUGUCAAGUUGAUCAGACGUGUUGGAGUCGGUAGAAGUGACGCUCAAUGAUUCCGUCACAAUUUCUUUUUUUCCUACCUAUUCUAGUAACCUCGAGGGGUUAUUCUAGAUUCGCCGAGCUAGUAGCUGAGCUCACGGGCCUCAAACCUGACGACGUUGCUAACACGAACCCUAGCAAGAGCCGUGCUUCGCAGAUUCUACCACCGGAUCGAAAGCGCGACCCACUGAGAAGAUCCGGCGAGAAACUCACCGGGCUGUAUCUGUGGGUUAAUUUACUCGCCGAGUCCUUCGUCGUAAGCGAUGGGCUCGAUGACGACCGGUUCCGUCACAAGCAAACAUACCAAACACACCAUACGCGUUAAAAAGACUCUUGUAUUUAUAAAAGCUUAGUAAGUCCGUCGGUCUAUCGAGCAAUAAACCUCAUUUACCGUAAGAUUGCUCUGUGUAUACACGCCUCAUAUAUCCGCCCGCGCCGUCCGAGCAAGGCAACGCACAAUAACAUAAUAUGAUAAAUAGCUAACUGCGGAAAUGUUUCUUAUUUAUUGCUAAAUACAAUUUAGAUAAAAAAAUUGUAAAGUUGUUUAGUUCCGACUUGUACAGGUUGGAGUGAUAUGAGGUGGAUAGCAGUAAUUAUUAGUUAUUUAUUCAUUUAAUGCUUUGGUCGGUGGAUGAGCACACAGCCCACCUGGUGUUGAGUGGUUACUGGAGCCCAUAGACAUCUACAACGCAAAUGCGCCACCCACCUUGAGAUAGAGUUCUAACAUUAAAAAGAGUUAAAAAAGUAAUAAAAAAGUCAUAAAUAAAAAACAGUGAAUGUGCGUAAAUUUAUUUUCAAAUAUAAUUCCUUUUAAAUAUACAUUUUAUAUAAUUAAAAGUGCUUAUUAUUUAAAUUGUACUCCCAUUUUUAAACAUUAUUAAUUUGACUUAAAAUUCAUUUUAUUCCGAGCUGUGUAAUUGCGAUCCUUUCGGCUGACAAUGACAGUUCCACUUUCCUCGUCCUGUUGCGUCUUCAAACGUCAUUGUAGACAUGUGUGGACAUAUGCGAGUAAGACUUAUUGGGUUUAAGUGACAUUUUUGCAUCUUUACAUUUAAGGUUUAAAUUUUGGAAGAAAAUAUCAUAUCAAUGGAGUAAGAUUAAUUAUUUUAAUUAUUCACUUAAACCGUAGCGAACUUACCUGCAAUCGUCCUCAUUUGAAGACUCGAGGAGCAAAGACCAGUGUUAUGUAUGGAGGGUAGAAGUAAAAAGGGUCAUCUUGUAUAGAGGAGAAAGUUGAAGAAGUGUCCGCUUGUAAACUGGGAGUUGUUGUUGGAAGACUCACCGACAUAGCGCUAGUGGAGGAAGUGGAAAUGAUGUGAAUAUGGCAGCUUUAAACAGAGCGAGAUGUACCGGAGUGAACAAUUUCAUAUUUUUCGAGCCUUCUGUACUUAAAAUAUAAACAUUAUUUAAAAUCUCAA